RNAcentral lists this ribosomal RNA (306 nucleotides) under uncultured bacterium. RNAcentral describes it as "bacterial SSU rRNA". It matches the Rfam family "Bacterial small subunit ribosomal RNA", at positions 399 to 721 of the family's 1533-position model. The record is from RNAcentral.
CCCUGAGUGAUGAAGGCCUUCGGGUUGUAAAUCUCUUUCCUCGGGGAAGAUAAUGACGGUACCUGAAGAAUCAAGCCCCGGCUAACUACGUGCCAGCAGCCGCGGUAAUACGUAGGGUGCAAGCGUUGUCCGGAAUUACUGGGCGUAAAGCGUGCGUAGGCGGUUAUUUAAGUCAGAUGUGAAAUCCCCGGGCUCAACCCGGGAACUGCAUUUGAUACUGGCUGUCUAGAGUGCGGUAGAGGAGAGUGGAAUUCCUAGUGUAGCGGUGAAAUGCGCAGAUAUCAGGAGGAACACCACUGGCGAAGG